This 446-nucleotide ribosomal RNA is filed under the name uncultured bacterium. Its description in RNAcentral is "partial 16S ribosomal RNA". It matches the Rfam family "Bacterial small subunit ribosomal RNA", at positions 338 to 795 of the family's 1533-position model. The record is from RNAcentral.
CCUACGGGAGGCUGCAGUCGAGAAUCAUUCACAAUGGGGGAAACCCUGAUGCUGCGACGCCGCGUGGGGGAAUGAAGGUCUUCGGAUUGUAAACCCCUGUCAUGUGGGAGCAAAUUAAAAAGAUAGUACCACAAGAGGAAGAGACGGCUAACUCUGUUCCAGCAGCCGCGGUAAUACAGAGGUGUCAAGCGUUGUUCGGAAUCACUGGGCGGAAAGCGUGCGUAGGCUGUUUCGUAAGUCGUGUGUGAAAGGCGCGGGCUCAACCCGCGGACGGCCCAUGAUACUGCGAGACUAGAGUAAUGGAGGGGGAACCGGAAUUCUCGGUGUAGCGGUGAAAUGCGUAGAUAUCGCGAGGAACACUCGUGGCGAAGGCGGGUUCCUGGACAUUAACUGACGCUGAGGCACGAAGGCCAGGGGAGCGAAAGGGAUUAGAUACCCGAGUAGUC